AUGGCCCCUGUCUUUAACUGCAACAAGAGUCAUCAUACUAAUUUGCUUCUUUAUCCAUUAGGCCUAAUCAGUGAUGUAAAAAAUGACCCAAUAUUUGCCUUACAUUUGCUUUCAGGGAGAAGACGGAGAACGCAGGUGAUCUUCAUGGAUAACCAGGAGACUGUUGUUCAACAUCCAGACACCAAGCAGAGUAUGAUGGGUUUCGGGGAGGAGGCAGGACUAACGGCAAGAUUCUGCGAGGAGCUCUUUUCUCGGCUGUCUGCAGUUGACAAUCAGGAGGUCACAUGUCAUCUGGGGAUGAGCUACUUCGAGGUGUACAACGAGAAAACCCAUAACUUGCUCGUGGUCAGGGACGAACAAAACCACAGCUCUGAGGGUGAGGGAACAUCCAGUCCACGGGCCUUAUGUUGCUGA
RNAcentral lists this long non-coding RNA (414 nucleotides) under Oncorhynchus mykiss (rainbow trout). Its description in RNAcentral is "lncRNA (ENSOMYG00000057833.1)". The record is from RNAcentral. Lineage: Eukaryota; Metazoa; Chordata; Actinopteri; Salmoniformes; Salmonidae.